Molecule: long non-coding RNA, 8558 nt
Organism: Pipra filicauda (Wire-tailed manakin)
Lineage: Eukaryota; Metazoa; Chordata; Aves; Passeriformes; Pipridae
Exons: 2
Source: RefSeq, a predicted model, not a curated record
GGCUUUCCUAAUUGAACUGACAUCGGUUAGUAAGGCGUCAGCUGCUGAACUUGGCAAGCCAGCAGCCUGGUCUAUCCAAGGUGGUCAAGGCAUGAGCUGUUCCAAUUCCAGCUACAAGACUGGAGAAUACUCUUUCAGCUGGGCCCCAGAUAUGUACUCUUGAAUUGCAAUUCUUAUUGUAUCGUUGCACGAAUCUUUUUUGCCUCUUUUGAAUGUGUGUGCUUAUGGGUAAUUUGUGAGGGUUAAAUGAUGUUAAUUUUCCAAAUGUGCACGGUCCUCCUUUCGCUCUAGUGGGAAUACCUUUCCAGAAUCACAGCCCACAGAUUAAGAAAAUACCAUUGGGCAAGCCAAGAGGUGUCGCCCCUGAUUUUAAUACUGUAGAAUUGGGUGAUUUACACCAAAAACGAGCCUUUUGGUAUGUUCCAGAAGGAGAUACGCCAAUUGCCAAAUAAUGAUUUGAAUUUGAAUCUGAGGGAUCAAAUUGAAAACAGAAAGGUGCAGUCAGACUGCCCAUGACAUUAAUUUCUUGGGGUUCUAUUGGAAUUCAAGGAAAAUUAUUUUCAAGGUUUUGGUUAUUGGCACAUUGUGCCUUGUGAAGGUUAGAGAAUUGUGGCAAGUACUGGUGUAGAAAGGUAAUCCACUGGGUGCAAUUGAAAGGAAGGCCUGCUAAACAGGUACGGAACGGAUCAGUUGGGGCAGCCACAGACAAACACAAUGUGUCAGUCCCGGUUGCAUUGGCGAGUGUCACCCCGACGUUCUGGGUGGCAAAGGUGGUCCAGUCAGGAGGCAUGGCUGUUGUUAUGAAGAUGAUGCAAGGUAGGGUUGCACGAAACGUGAAGGUAUCCAUCGCGGUGCUCGAUCUGUGGAGACACAAGCAUAACCUUUUCCCCAGGUUAUUAAGGGACAAGGACCUUGCCAUUCUCUAGUAACUGGAUCUCUGAACAUUACUUCUGCCUUCCUCUCUGUGGAAACAUGUGCUGGGACAAAGUGACGCUGUGCUGCAGAGAGAUCUCCUACUAUUCUAUUUAGAAAGUUAAGCACAUAUAAAGCCUUAUUUAAACACUCCUGGGGAGUUAAACCUGAACUUCCUCUUUUCUGUUUCUGCAACGUCUUUGAGUGUGCAGUGUGCACACUCAAUUACAGCCUGACCUGUGGGGGUGUGUGGAAUACUUGUUAGAUGUUGUAUUCCCCAUUGUUCAAAAAAUUCUUUUGUGCGUUUGGACAUAUAAGAAGGUCCAGUGUCUGUUUUAAUUUGCUUAGGUACUCCCAUGUGUGCAAAGGCUGUAAGGAGGUGACAUUGUACAUCCCAGCUUUUCUCCCCAGAAUGAGCUGUAGCUACUAGAAAUCCUGAAAACGUGUCAAUGGAGACAUGUACAUAUUUCAGUUUGCCAAAAGAGGAUAUGUGUGUUACAUCUGCUUGCCACAGCUGCAGGGGUUACAGUCCUCAAGGGUUGGUUCCUUCAGGAGCAAUGGGAGUGAUUAGCUGACAGUCUGGACAGGAUGCUAUGAUAGAAUGAGCUUGCUCUGAUGUGAGAUCAAAUUAUCUUUUUAAUGCCCUUGCAUUUUGAUGAAAAAAUUGAUGUGACAAUUCGGCUUGCUCAAAUCACUGAGGUACUAUUACUGCUCCUGCAAGUGCAUCUGCACGUCGAUUACCUCUGAAAUUGGACCAGGAGGCAAGGUAUGAGGAUGCACGUGCAUGAUGAAAAAUGCAAAUUGCCUCUUUUCAACUAGAAACAGUAAUUUUUUGAAUAGGGCAAACAGUGCCGCAUGAUUGACUUCUUUCAGAUAGGAGUGUUCAAUUUGUUGAACCACUCCCACAACAUACUGAGAAUCAGAAACUAUGUUUAAAGGUCCUGGAAAGAGUGUAAGUGUGCAGAUUACUGCUGAUAAUUCUACAAGCUGUGGUGACCCAUCCACAUGAUGUAUAUCCUGUUGCCAGUCAUUAUCUUUCUGCCACACUACGACUCCAUUUCCCGUUUUUCCUGAACCGCCAGUAAAGACAGUUUGUGCAUCUGUUAAAGGAAUAGGGGAGCAGUGUGUUCUCAGCUUCAAAGGAAAGUUGUUUAAACACUGUAAAAUAGAACAAGCAGGUAGGUGAAUACUUAGCUGACCUGUAAAAUCACUUAAGGCAGUUUGAAAUUCAAAACUAGCCUUCUCUAGCCAUUGUAAAUGCUCUGUUGUCAUUGGCAAAUACACAGUACGUGGGUCACACCCUGCAAGUUCCCAGCACCUAAUGCAGCCUCUCUGAAAUAUGCGUGAUAUCAUUUCUGGCUGAGUCGUUACUGUUUUAGAAAACUGAUGAGCUGGAAAAACCCAUUCCCAUAAACAAAACUGAGUAUUGUUCUUGUACAACUGGCCCAAGAGGCCAAAAGGUUGAGCAAGUCCCUUCAAGGUAACUGAUAUCACUGUGUUGCCUGUGUAUUUUGGUGCUGAAAAAAAUCUCCGGAGCAGUUAGUUAGGGGUGAGAUAAGAAAGGGUUUAUUUGCCAAGGCAGUCGGUGAUAUAGACGCGCGUGCAGGCCGUGCCUGAGAGGUUACAUUUUAUAACAUUAUCCAUCCAAUCCCAGAUGUGUCCACCCUUUGGCCCUUCCUCUGGUCCGCCCCGGGUCCUCCCCCUGAGAAAUGGGUCUGGGGUGUAUUUUGGGACCCCCCUUUCAUCAUCCUCAUCAUCCUCAGAGCACAAAGGGUACAUUGUUACCUAAUUUUUGACCGUAUUCUGUGGUUUAGGCCCUGAUACGCUGUUCUCCAAACAGUCUAGGCCUUUGCCUUGACAGAAGACUAAACACUCUGCUGUAUUCAAGAGCACAGAUCCCCAGCCCAGUCUGGGACACAGAACCUGUGAAAUGGCAGAAGGAUUGUGGUGUGAAUGCAGCGCCCUCAGAGCCCUUGGUGUGAGCCCGGAAAGGAAAAUCAAGGGAGAUGGUUAAAGCCUUGUUGUUCAGUGUGGAGCACAGGAGAACUUUGUUCUCAUCAUCUCCCCAAUAAAGAGGAGGACUCAGAUCUUCUGGUUGGCCCCACGGGCAGGUUGAGUGGGGGAACAGAAAAUCAAGAUGCAGAAACCAAUCUUGCAGGGGAACUGGCAUGUGAAGAGGCAGAUUUAGCAUGUCCAGAAGAAAAGGAGAGAGAAUGUGUCAGAGAGAGAGCAGAGAGCUUCAGAAAUCCCUGAGGAAAUGGUGCCCCCGGGGAGAGGAAGAGGAUGAGAGCAUGGGCAGCCUGCUUCAAACAUCCCCCCCAGGAGACUUGGGAUCAAUCCCUGUGCAUCCUGUAAGAAAGAUGGACACUGGAAAUGGGAUUAUCCACAACUGAAACUUCAGAACCCUCCCAACCCUCUUCUGGCAUCACUGAAGACGACUGAGGGGGCACCAGAGGAUUCUUCCCCAUCAGAACAUCUGGUUCCAGCCAAGCUAAGUACAAUUGGUUGUGGCUGUGGGAACUUGUUCCCCUGUCUUAAAUAAGGGAAAAUGAAACUCAAGUCACAAUUCUGGAACAACUGUCUGGUGUGACAGGGAAUUGGGAAACUGGGCCAUUUUUAAUGCUGUGGAUUUAAAACUGGGAAAACAGUGGUUGGCUCCCCAGUAUUUCCCCAAUUCCCCAAAGCCUCUGCCUGGGAGAGAUCUCUUGGAAAAAUUAAAUGCCACAAUCCAAUUUAAAAAUGAUAAAAUAUAAGUUAUUAUUGCGGAGCCUAAUUCUGUGGAAGAUUCUAGUUUUGCAUGAGAGUCUCCAAAAGCAGAACUAAUCCAUCUGCCAACGUCACUUGGGGAUGCAGUGAUUCCAGUAGGAUGGGCUGGAGAGGUGCCUCCAUGAUCCAAAAGAGCAGAACUGUGAGAAUUCCAGUGAAACCUGGAGCAGGGCUGGUCAGGCCAAAGCAAUAGCCUUUGAAAAUGGAAAGUUGUGAGGGAUUCUCACCCUUUGUAGAAAAACUGAUGAAAUUUUGCUUGUUAAAAGAAUGUGAAUCUAAAUGUAAUGCUCCAAUUUUGCCAGUCAAGGGGGCAAAUGGAAGGCUAUCCCAGUUAGUCCAAGACCUCAGAGCUAUAAAUAAUCGAGUGGAAGAUAUACAAGCAGUCAUAGCAAAUCCUUACACUUUGCUAACUCCCCUAAAUGAAAGUUUAGUGUGUUUCACAGUAUUAGAUUUGAAAGAUGCCUUUUUCUGUCUCCCUUUGAGUUGUGAAAGUCAAGAGCUUUUUGCUUUCAACUGGGAAAAUCCAAAAACAGGGAGGAAAACCCAGCUGACUUUGGUGGUCCUCUUGCAGGGGUUUAAAAAUAUCCCCCCAGUAUUUGGAACUCAAUUGGCAAAGGAACUGGAGGAAUGGAGAAGUCAAAACCCUCUUGGAGCCUUGUUCCAGUGUGUGGAUAUUUUGAUAGCCACUGAUGCUGAGCAGCAAUGUUGGGAUCAGACACUGUGGAAUUUCCUUGGACUGGGUGGAUACGGGGUGUCCCAAACACAAAGUGCAAGUAGUCCAGACCCCAGGAGCCUCCCUGGGCUUUGGAAUUCUCCAAGGACAAGGGAGGCUGGGCCAGGAACAAAAGAAGCAACCUGUCAACUGCCCCAGCCCCAGCAAAGGAAGCCCAGAGAGUGAUUGCUUCCAGACUAGAGGAGAAGUGUAUUCGGGCAGAGCUGACUCAGGAGACAGCCCCUGGGAAAGUCCUGGUUGGGAAUUGUUUCCCAGUGGGGGCAGCUUUGUCCAGCGUGGAAAACAAUUCUCUGGAUGCACAGGAACUCCCCCCAGCAGGUCAUGGAAUUGGGGGCACUCCUCUGCAGUGCCUCAGCCCAGAAAGCAGAACCAAUUGUGCUCACUCCAGCUUUGGGAUUGAGUCAAGGAGAACAAGUUAAUCCUUGGACUUGCUUGAAGAUCUCCAGAAACCAACAGAGGCUGCUGUCCUGCAUUGCAGAGUGCACCAAGAGGGGAAGACCAAAGCAGAACUGGGGAAUCAUUUGUCCCAUAAUUCUGCCAAAGAGGCUGCAGAAAAAGGCACUUUAGAGAGUAAAGUUUUGUCUUUAAUAACCCUGACAGAGAUACCUCUCCCAGUAGAAAAAAAAACUAGUGUAGUGCUAAGGAUUGUCAGCUCAUUGAAACUUUAGGAGCAAAAUUUGCUCCAGGAGGCUGGGCAGUUACCCCAGGUGGGCAAAUAAUAGUCCCUGAACCAAUCUGGUGUGACCUGGUGGAUGGGGAACACGAGGGUAUUCCUUGGAGUGAAGCAAAUCAUUGAAACAUUUGCACAAGUGGAUUAUAAUAAGUCCAAAACUGACCCCAGUUGUACAAGCAGUGAGUCAGCAGUGUGGUGUGUGUAAGAGAAAUGAUCCAACCCCUGCCAAUGCAGUGGGAAUAGGGGAUGUAAAGUGUAGAAAUGUUCCAGGUGAAUGUUGGCAGAUGGAUUUGACUGAAUUGCCCAGAAAAGGGGGGUGUAAAGAUCUCCUAGUCUUGGGGGAUACCUUCUCUGGGUGGCCAGAGGCUUUUCCUUGUUGCACUAAGAAGGUUUGGAAAGAGACUGCAAUAUUGUUCAAUGCAAUCCUCCCUGUAUUUGGGAUGCCUUUGGGAAUGCCAUCAGACAGAGGUUCCCACUUAUUGCAGGAACAAAAUGCUUCACUCUUGUUUUGCUCUUCUGACAACAGUUCAAACACUGUUGACAUGGGAGGAAAAUUUACAUCUCUUUUUAGUGCCAAAUGUGAUCCAAAUGUUGUCUAAAAGUGUCUGUAUUAAGUAAGCAAGACUCUGUAAUGAACCUGUAAACUGUGUGUGUAAUGUAAAGCCCUGUCUGGCUGUCACUGAAGUGCUGAGGCUGAACAACAGCCCCUGAGCCAAAGCUGAGCUCUAGAUGAACCUUCCAACCUAAUGGGCUGUGUCUCCAUGUAUCUGCUCAUCAGCUAAAACUGGGUCUGUUUGUUGGUAAAAAUGUGCUGUGAUGGGACUCCACCUGUGUAUCUGCUCCUGAGCAAACAGGUGUGCUUAUUAGUCAGAUCUGUUAGUCUGGGCUCAUUAGUGAAUCCUGUUUGUACCUGUUCAUUAACAAAAUAUGUCUGAUUGUGAGCAAAAUGUGAUCUUUAUCUUUCUGUAUCUGGAGAGUGGUCGAGGCCAUGGCAGUCGAUGUCUGGCCUUGUUUGGCAGCAGAUGGGGCAGGGGGAGCCUUGGUUUGGGAGAAGUAGAACAUUGCUCCCAAUAUUCUGCUCUGGCCAAAUAAGGAACAAUAGAAUCUUAGAGAAGUCCUGGAGAAUUGGAUCAGGGCUGGAACUCAAGCAAACAGGAUGUGAGCUGAGCUCUGGGGACCCAGAGAAGAUCAAACCAAACAUGCUGGUCUCUGUGGGGAAAAGCAGUGAUGCUGAGAACCGAGGUCAAGAAGGGGACACCUGACUUUGGGGGGGCACCAGAUGCCAAAAAACCCACCAGAGACCCCCAGAGAAGACCCCAAAUGACCAAAUAGGUACUUGCAAUAGGGUUGUGACUGUGUAAAGCAAAGUAAUGGACAUGUGUUCAGUAAGGGAGAAUAUCCAAUGCCUCUGGAAUCAGUGUGUGUAAUCCCAAGCCCUGCCUGUGUCCCUGAGCAGGCUGGAUUAGAAGAACUCUCCUGCAGGCGUCCAGCACGCUGCCCUAAAGAAUGCCUGCUUCUUAACACCCCAACUGGGGUGAAGGGCUUGGGUUCUGCUGCUUGUGGGGAUCAUUUCUGGCCCCCAGGUGGGACCCUGUGCCUGAUCUCCCGUGGAUCCGAGGGAUCUCUGGAUCUUCACGCCGGCCCCAGGACUUUCCUGGAGAAGAGCACAGAUCCCCAUCCCAGUCUGGGAUGUGGGGAAGAUCCCAUUGGAUAAUAAGGCAUUCUUUUGGGGAAUCCUGCUCCUGUAAGAUGUGUGGAUCUUCCAGCACUUUGGGUGGGUUGUUUGGUAUUCCACAAUUUGGUCUCUGGCUUUGUUUUAUCCACUGAUCCUUGUUUUGUGUUUGUAUUUGUCUCUGUACUGUAACAUUUGCACAGGUGGGUUAGGGGUGCAAAACUGACCCAGUUGUACAAGCAGUGAGUCAGCAGUGUGGUGUGUGAGAGAAAUGAUCCAACUCUGCCAAUGCAGGGGGAAUAGGUGAUGUACAGUGUGGAAAUGUUCCAGGUGAAUGUUGGCAGAUGGAUUUGACUGAAUUGCCCAGAAAAGGGGGGUGUAAAGAUCUCCUAGUCUUGGGGGAUACCUUCUCUGGGUGGCCAGAGGUUUUCCUUUGUGACACCAACUGGGCUAGGGAAGUGAGUGGAAUACUGUUGAAUCCAAGAAUCCCUGGAUUCGAGGUACAUUUGGGAAUGUCAUCAGACAGAGGUUCCCACUUGAUUGUAGAAGUGGUACAAGAAGUCAAAUCAGGGAUGCAUUAUUCCAGAAUUCCAAAGGCCAGAGCCCCUUGGGUAAUUGAGAGGUUGUCUGAAGAAACAAAAUCCUUUAGUCCUGUUUUGCUCUCCUGACAAUAGUUAAUUGGGUCUUGACUUGGGAGCAAAAUUUACAUCUCCUUUUAGUCUCAAAUGUGACCCAAGUGUUGCCUCCAAGGGAUUGUUGGGUGUGCACUCAUUUACCUGAAAAGACAAGGAAGCCAUUCACCAUUUCUGCCUCCCCUAUUCUGGCAGAAAUGAUUCCUGGUCACUGGGUGGGCACUUGUGUUCCCCAAAAAGUAGACCCAGCAGUUAGUGUGCAAGUACCCCCCCAUCUCUGACAAUCCUGCCUGUGUCCAAAGCUGUGACCCCCACUAAAGGGACAGGAGAACUGGAUUGUGUUAAUGAAAGGGGCACGUUUGUGGGAAAUCACCCCCAAUGUCCUCAAACCCUUCCUGCUGGGGAAAUGACUGAUCCUUGGCCGGUCCCCAAUGGAACGGGGUGGUGUUGGUUGUGUGGAAAUAACACCUGUGAAGGGUUGCCCCAAAGCUGGAAGAGCAUUUGUAUUUCAGCUUGCAUCAUGACUCAGCUUAGUCUGAAGAAAAGGAGGGAUUUGAUGUGGGAUAUAGAACACUGCUCCCAACAUUUCUCUAUGGCCAAGGAAGGAAAACCAUAAUCUUGGAGAGGUCCUAGAGAAUUCGAUCGGGGAUGUAACUAAGCAAACAGGAUGGAAGCUGAGCUCUGUGCACCCAGAGAAGAUCAAACCCAAACGUUACAGUCUUUGUGGUGAAAGGUAAUGACACUGUGUCUGCUCAGAACCGAGGUCAAGAAGUGGACACCUCAACUUUGGGGGCACCACAUGCCAAAAAAACCCCACCAGAGAGCUCUGAAGAAGACCCCAGAGGACCAACUAAGGACUUGCAAUGGGGAGGUGACUGUGUAAAGCAAAGUAAUGUCUAUGUAUUAAGUAAGGGAGAAUAUCUAAGGAAUAUAGAAACUGUGUGUGUGGGAUAUAAAGCCCUGUCCGGCUGUCCCUGAAAGUGCUGAGGCUGAACAACAGCCCCUGAGCCAAAGCUGAGCUCUAGAUGAACCUUCCAACCUACUGGUCUCUUUAUCCAUGUAUUUGCUCCUUAGCUAAACCUGUGUAUGUUUGUUGGUCAAAGAUGUACUGUGUGCAAAGACUACCCGUGUAUCUGCCCAUGAACAAAAUAAAUGUGCUUAUUAGUGAGA